AGUUGCCAGCAUCGGUUGGGCACUCUAGAGGGACUGCCGGCGACAAGUCGGAGGAAGGUGGGGAUGACGUCAAAUCAUCAUGCCCCUUAUGACCUGGGCUACACACGUGCUACAAUGGGCGGUACAAAGGGCUGCGAACCCGCGAGGGGGAGCGAAUCCCAAAAAGCCGCUCUCAGUUCGGAUUGCAGGCUGCAACUCGCCUGCAUGAAGCCGGAAUCGCUAGUAAUCGCGGAUCAGCAUGCCGCGGUGAAUACGUUCCCGGGCCUU
RNAcentral lists this ribosomal RNA (267 nucleotides) under uncultured Geobacillus sp. RNAcentral's name for it is "partial 16S ribosomal RNA". It matches the Rfam family "Bacterial small subunit ribosomal RNA", at positions 1113 to 1382 of the family's 1533-position model. The record is from RNAcentral. Lineage: Bacteria; Bacillati; Bacillota; Bacilli; Caryophanales; Anoxybacillaceae.